ACAAGGGUUCCGUAGGUGAACCUGCGGAAGGAUCAUUA
RNAcentral lists this ribosomal RNA (38 nucleotides) under Candida tropicalis. RNAcentral describes it as "partial 18S ribosomal RNA". Lineage: Eukaryota; Fungi; Ascomycota; Pichiomycetes; Serinales; Debaryomycetaceae. The record is from RNAcentral.